Molecule: ribosomal RNA, 492 nt
Filed under: uncultured bacterium
Lineage: Bacteria
Description: partial 16S ribosomal RNA
Rfam family: Bacterial small subunit ribosomal RNA
Source: RNAcentral
AUUGAACGCUGGCGGCAUGCUUUACACAUGCAAGUCGAACGGUAACAGGCCUUCGGGUGCUGACGAGUGGCGAACGGGUGAGUAAUGCAUCGGAACGUACCCAGAGGUGGGGGAUAACGCGGCGAAAGCUGUGCUAAUACCGCAUGUGAUCUGAGGAUGAAAGCGGGGGACCGAGCAGCAAUGUUUGGCCUCGCGCCUUUGGAGCGGCCGAUGUCGGAUUAGCUAGUUGGUGGGGUAAAGGCCUACCAAGGCGACGAUCCGUAGCUGGUCUGAGAGGACGACCAGCCACACUGGGACUGAGACACGGCCCAGACUCCUACGGGAGGCAGCAGUGGGGAAUUUUGGACAAUGGGCGCAAGCCUGAUCCAGCAAUGCCGCGUGCGGGAAGAAGGCCUUCGGGUUGUAAACCGCUUUUGGCAGGAACGAAACGGUGUCCGCUAAUACCGGGCGCUAAUGACGGUACCUGCAGAAUAAGCACCGGCUAACUACGUG